CAAACGACUCUCGGCAACGGAUAUCUCGGCUCACGCAUCGAUGAAGAAGGUAGCAAAAUGCGAUACUUGGUGUGAAUUGCAGAAUCCCGUGAACCAUCGAGUUUUUGAACGCAAGUUGCGCCCGAAGCCAUUCGGCUGAGGGCACGUCUGCCUGGGCGUCACGC
Molecule: ribosomal RNA, 164 nt
Filed under: Eurybia chlorolepis
Lineage: Eukaryota; Viridiplantae; Streptophyta; Magnoliopsida; Asterales; Asteraceae
Description: 5.8S ribosomal RNA
Rfam family: 5.8S ribosomal RNA
About the family: 5.8S ribosomal RNA (5.8S rRNA) is a component of the large subunit of the eukaryotic ribosome. It is transcribed by RNA polymerase I as part of the 45S precursor that also contains 18S and 28S rRNA. Functionally, it is thought that 5.8S rRNA may be involved in ribosome translocation.
Source: RNAcentral